AUGGCGGAUAGAUUGGAUAAGUGUGGGUGGCAAAACUGUGGUCAUUGCCCUCUCUGUGGGAGGGGGCAAGAAACAUGGGCUCACCUUUUCUUCAAGUGCCGCUUCACCAAUAGGCUGCCGAGACUGGUCAUCAACAAGCUGAGUCUUGAUGGACCCUUCUACUUGGCACCUAGAAGCUCCCGUCAGGGAAUGGUGGGCGAACAGGACUGGCUUGGGUAUUCCCAAAAGGAAGGCCAUGGCCUCCCUCACAAUGCCAGUUUUAUGGACUGUCUGAAACGAGAGGAACACACGCAUCUUCCGUCACAAGAGCGCGCCGCCGCCGAUCCUACUCAACAACAUUCUUACCUAGGCUAG
RNAcentral lists this ribosomal RNA (354 nucleotides) under Triticum aestivum (bread wheat). RNAcentral describes it as "partial small subunit ribosomal RNA". Lineage: Eukaryota; Viridiplantae; Streptophyta; Magnoliopsida; Poales; Poaceae. The record is from RNAcentral.